UCCUGGCUGUAAACGAUGUGGACUAGGCGUUGGUGGGGUCAAACCCAUCAGUGCUGGAGCUAACGCGUUAAGUCCACCGCCUGGGGACUACGGCCGCAAGGCUAAAACUCAAAGGAAUUGGCGGGGGCCCGCACAAGCAGCGGAGCGUGUGGUUUAAUUCGAUGCUACACGAAGAACCUUACCCGGGUUGACAUGCUGGUACCGAAGAAAGGGGGGGACCCCGGGGGAAGCGC
Molecule: ribosomal RNA, 233 nt
Filed under: uncultured bacterium
Lineage: Bacteria
Description: partial 16S ribosomal RNA
Rfam family: Bacterial small subunit ribosomal RNA
Source: RNAcentral